GGAUGUUUUACCGGUGAGGGAAACGACUAAUUAUGCCCCUAUAUUGACUUUCGAGUUUGAUAUAGGUAAAGCAUAUUAAUACGCCCCUUAUGUUAAAAGACCCAUUUUAGUGCUCUUUACCGAGUGCUAUUGUGGGCCGGUACAAUUACUUUGAACAAAUUAGAGUGCUUAAAGCAGGCUAAAUUUAAUGAAAAUUAAAACGCCUGAAUAUAUUUUGCAUGGAAUAAUGGAAUAUGACCUCUGGUCUAUUUGAUUGGUUUUUAGAUGCCAAGAGGUAAUGAUUAAUAGAAGCAGU
RNAcentral lists this ribosomal RNA (295 nucleotides) under Phlebotomus papatasi. RNAcentral's name for it is "partial 18S ribosomal RNA". The stretch from base 72 to 295 matches the Rfam family "Eukaryotic small subunit ribosomal RNA", at positions 678 to 882 of the family's 1831-position model. The record is from RNAcentral. Lineage: Eukaryota; Metazoa; Arthropoda; Insecta; Diptera; Psychodidae.